RNAcentral lists this ribosomal RNA (493 nucleotides) under uncultured bacterium. Its description in RNAcentral is "partial 16S ribosomal RNA". It matches the Rfam family "Bacterial small subunit ribosomal RNA", at positions 28 to 523 of the family's 1533-position model. The record is from RNAcentral.
GAUGAACGCUGGCGGCGUGCUUAACACAUGCAAGUCGAGCGAAGCACUUAUGAAGAUUCUUCGGAUGAAUCAUUUGUGACUGAGCGGCGGACGGGUGAGUAACGCGUGAGUAACCUGCCUUAUACAGGGGAAUAGCAGUUAGAAGUGACUGCUAAUGCCGCAUAAGCGCACAGGACCGCAUGGUCCGGUGUGAAAAACUCCGGUGGUAUGAGAUGGACUCGCGUCUGAUUAGCUGGUUGGUGAGGUAACGGCCCACCAAGGCGACGAUCAGUAGCCGGCCUGAGAGGGUGAACGGCCACAUUGGGACUGAGACACGGCCCAAACUCCUACGGGAGGCAGCAGUGGGGAAUAUUGCACAAUGGGGGAAACCCUGAUGCAGCGACGCCGCGUGAGUGAAGAAGUAUUUCGGUAUGUAAAGCUCUAGCAGCAGGGAAGAAAAUGACGGUACCUGACUAAGAAGCCCCGGCUAACUACGUGCCAGCCGCCGCGGUAA